GUUUAAGUAGCUUAUGUUAAAGCACCAGUCUUGUAAACUGAAGAUUAGAGACUAAAUCUCUCUCUUAAACU
This 71-nucleotide transfer RNA is filed under the name Uraeotyphlus cf. oxyurus MW-212. RNAcentral describes it as "tRNA-Thr". It matches the Rfam family "tRNA". Rfam says of the family: Transfer RNA (tRNA) molecules are approximately 80 nucleotides in length. The record is from RNAcentral. Lineage: Eukaryota; Metazoa; Chordata; Amphibia; Gymnophiona; Ichthyophiidae.